GCGCGAAACCUCCGCAAUGCGAGCAAUCGCGACGGGGGGACCCAAGGGGUACUCUUAAAGGGGUAGCUUUUCUAAAGGGGAAAAAGCGUCAGGAAUAAGGGCUGGGGAAGACCGGUGCCAGCCGCCGCGGUAACACCGGCAGCUCAAGUGGGGGCCGCUUUUAUUGGGCCUAAAGCGUUCGUAGCCGGCCUGAUAAGUCUCUGGUGAAAUCCCGCAGCUUAACUGUGGGAAUUGCUGGAGAUACUAUCAGGCUUGAGGCCGGGAGAGGCUGGAGGAACUCCCAGGGUAGGGGUGAAAUCCUAUAAUCCUGGGAGGACCACCUGUGGCGAAGGCGUCCAGCUGGAACGGACCUGACGGUGAGUAACGAAAGCCAGGGGCGCGAACCGG
This 387-nucleotide ribosomal RNA is filed under the name uncultured prokaryote. RNAcentral describes it as "bacterial SSU rRNA". It matches the Rfam family "Archaeal small subunit ribosomal RNA", at positions 339 to 727 of the family's 1478-position model. RNAcentral also lists the same sequence under 1 other name. The record is from RNAcentral.